UACGUAGGGGGCAAGCGUUAUCCGGAUUUACUGGGUGUAAAGGGAGCGUAGACGGCGAUGCAAGUCUGAAGUGAAAGGCGGGGGCCCAACCCCCGGACUGCUUUGGAAACUGUAUAGCUGGAGUGCAGGAGAGGUAAGUGGAAUUCCUAGUGUAGCGGUGAAAUGCGUAGAUAUUAGGAGGAACACCAGUGGCGAAAGCGCUUUACUGGACCAUUAUUGACGCUGAGGAACGAAAGCCAGGGGAGCAAAUGGG
This 253-nucleotide ribosomal RNA is filed under the name uncultured Eubacteriales bacterium. RNAcentral's name for it is "uncultured Clostridiales bacterium partial 16S ribosomal RNA". It matches the Rfam family "Bacterial small subunit ribosomal RNA", at positions 524 to 776 of the family's 1533-position model. Lineage: Bacteria; Bacillati; Bacillota; Clostridia; Eubacteriales. The record is from RNAcentral.